This 453-nucleotide unclassified non-coding RNA is filed under the name Hevea brasiliensis (rubber tree). Lineage: Eukaryota; Viridiplantae; Streptophyta; Magnoliopsida; Malpighiales; Euphorbiaceae. The record is from RNAcentral.
GAACUUUCCUGGUAGCUUCAAACCUGAGGGGAAGGACAUUAUAUAAUUUUAGAAAAAGCUAUAGAGCACUUGACGUAAACUAAACAAAUUGAAUGGAGAUGCAAUUAUACAAAUGCACAUUAUACUUUGUUUAUUUUUGUAUCUUUUUGUUGCAGUAAAGCAGUAUACUCUACUGACCUACCGUAGCAUAUCCAACAAUUUGCUGCUUUCCUACUUGUGUUAAGUGUGAUAACACAAUGGACAAUUAUGCCCUUGUACACAUAUUUUGAAGAUUAAGCACAUAAUAAUAAUGACAUAUCUCUAACACAAACAAGGCAGCUACAGAAAACAAUUUUAGCAGAAGAGGAUGUAAAUUCUAAUUUAUAUGGGUCUCAAAAAUUAUACCCCAAAACAGAAUAAACUGACCAGAAAAACUUAAAAAGGAAACAUACCCAUCCAUUUCUGGCAUCUGGA